RNAcentral lists this ribosomal RNA (465 nucleotides) under Vreelandella stevensii. RNAcentral describes it as "partial 16S ribosomal RNA". It matches the Rfam family "Bacterial small subunit ribosomal RNA", at positions 338 to 795 of the family's 1533-position model. Lineage: Bacteria; Pseudomonadati; Pseudomonadota; Gammaproteobacteria; Oceanospirillales; Halomonadaceae. The record is from RNAcentral.
CCUACGUGUGGCAGCAGUGGGGAAUAUUGGACAAUGGGGGGAACCCUGAUCCAGCCAUGCCGCGUGUGUGAAGAAGGCCCUCGGGUUGUAAAGCACUUUCAGUGAGGAAGAACGCCUGGUGGUUAAUACCCAUCAGGAAAGACAUCACUCACAGAAGAAGCACCGGCUAACUCCGUGCCAGCAGCCGCGGUAAUACGGAGGGUGCGAGCGUUAAUCGGAAUUACUGGGCGUAAAGCGCGCGUAGGUGGCUUGAUAAGCCGGUUGUGAAAGCCCCGGGCUCAACCUGGGAACGGCAUCCGGAACUGUCAAGCUAGAGUGCAGGAGAGGGAGGUAGAAUUCCCGGUGUAGCGGUGAAAUGCGUAGAGAUCGGGAGGAAUACCAGUGGCGAAGGCGGCCUUCUGGACUGACACUGACACUGAGGUGCGAAAGCGUGGGUAGCAAACAGGAUUAGAUACCCUAGUAGUC